CAAAAAGAGAAAAAGCAUCAUCCCAGGCGUGGGCACACCUGAAAGAAACCUAGUCUCAAAUACAUCCUCAAGAGAAAGGGCACUCUUCAUUUAAAACAUAGCUAGAAUGUGCACACAAAGGCAACUUUCUCACUGAAAGUAAUUCAUGUAGGACAAUAAAAGCAAUGCUAUUCUUUUUGCUCAUUAGUAUAUGCAUGAUAGCUGAGAGACUUGAGAAAUGAGAUACCAAAACAAGACCACACCUCUGUGUUGGAGGCAUUAUUAACCAGCAGAUAAGUUAGAAGAAUUAUAGUAAUAGCAUAGUGCAACAUAUGGUACAAAAAUAAACAAACAGGGCCUAUGAGAGUACUCAGGAAAAGCAGGAAGAAGACUCAAUGACAAGGCAUGGAUGUGAUGGCUCAUGACUGAACAGAUGCAACAGAUUGAGGUGGGGGGAGGUUGAAGGAAGGUGCUUUGUGCAAAGCAGACAUGUAAAGGGUGUACAGGGGGGACACAGACAUGCUUGGGUGUAGUUAGAGGAGUAGUCAGCAGAACCAACCAUCAAGAACACAAGUCCCACAGGAAAGGUGUUGAUGUGCUCACGGAUUGUCUUCAUGUCCCGUUGUGCUGACGGGCAUGAACAGAUUGACUGCCAAGGCAGAGUCAAGGACUAAGACUUGAUGAAGCAACUGAAUAUAAAGGAAGCAGUAUCCAAGCAGCCAGAACUGUGGCUGGUCAAGUGUGAGUAAAUACAGGCUCUUAGCUUCAAGAGGAAAAAAGGCUUCAAAGUGGAGGGUAGGAAUGGUAACAGAACACGUGUGCUGUAAAGUGAAAGGGGAAAUACUGGAGGUGGAAGAGCUUGGGGAGGGUGGAGGAGGGAAUCUGGAGAAGGGUCAACUAAAACUAAGCAUCAGGAAAAAUGUCACAGGGACACCUGCUACUUUGUAAGCCAACUGAAACAUUUUUAAGAAAGGAAAUAAAACAUCACAACCAACUGGCUCGCUCCCAAAUGACCUGGAUAUACACUUGCAGUGGAGGGAAGUGACUUGUGAGUCAGUCCCCAGAGGUGUUUGGGAUGGCAAAGGCAUGGGAAUCAUUUAAAUGUCCAACUCAAGAGGGAACUGGUUCAAUAAAUAAGGCAGUUACUCAGAGGAAUCCUAGGAAGCUGUGCAAAGAACGAGAAGCACUUUAGAGAUCACCAAGACAAAGUUUGCAGAGUCAGGAAAGAGAGACGAGAUAAAAUAGCAUAUGUCACAGGGCAUAUGGAAAAAGGAAAAUUCAUACAUAUAAACAUGUACUUGUAUAUGCAUUAAGCUUUGUCUAAAAAAAUACUGCCUUUUCCGAGACUGUGUCUAAGAAUGCAAAGGGCACAAGAGGAACAAAAGCUUUUACUUAGACACCUUUUGAGGAUUUUUUAUUUUGAACCCUGGUAAUAGUUUAUUCAGAAACAUAUUGGUAAUUAUUGUGAAUGUAUUUAUAUACAUAUGUGUUUUGUGGGGUUUUCUUAAUAUGGCCAUGAGGAAAUUUACCUGGCAACAGCAUGAAUAAAGAAUAGAGAGAUAGGAAGUAACAGUGCCAAUAUACUGGUAGAAUAUUUGCAGUUAAACAGAAAGAGAACCAGACAUGAUGUGGAGCAGGGGGUGGGGGUGGGGUGUAAUUUAGACACAAGGCAAAACCAGGAAAAUUGUAAUAGUGAUAAAGUAGGUAUGCUAAGGCAAACAAAUGGACACACAGGGAGAGGACGCACAAAGGUGGAGUUGGGGGGGGGCUAAACUAGUAACGUAUCUGUAGUGCAAUCCUAAGAACCUGAAUCUGGAUCCCUGGCACCCACACAAAAGCUGAGCCUGGUAGCAGCACACACUCGUAACCCUGGUGCUGGGAGAGUGGGAACAGAGAGAUCACUGGAGCUUGUUGUGCCCAACCAACCAGUCUAGACAACCGGUAAUUCUGAGUUCGGUGAGACCUUGUCUUAACAACAAGGUGGAAAGCGAUAAAAGGAAGGUACUUCACUCAACCGCUGGCUUCUGUUGCCCACAUAGGUGCAUGCAUACACACAUCUUAAAAGUAAAAAUUAUGACUGGAAGUACUGGUGAACAUAUUGUUACCUACAAGUAAAUCUGUAGAAAAACCCUGCACAAGACCUAGGAACAUAUUAGAAUUGGAAGUCUUCAUCCUAGACUAGAAGAAGGAUAAAUGAGAGAGACACGUGGGACAUAUGCUGGACCCUGACACCGACUGCAGAGGCAGGCCCUGGUGCCUUUGAAAAGUUCCAGAAGCUGUAUAAUAACCAAAGCCCGAGUUGAGAGAAGAGACCAGGAGGAGACUAUCGUUGUACCAAGUGAUAUACAGGUGGAGACAGGUGGGGAGGGACGACAGACUGACCAGGAGAAGAGAGCCCUUCACACUACAAGACAACGCUGCUGAGUCAGAGGCAGCGGUGAGGCUGUGUGGGCUGGCCAGUGAGGAUAUGAUGGUGACCUGAUGAGAACUGUCUUCCUGGUGUGUCCCAUGAGGAGAGAGUCCAGGCUGAGGGCUGAGGAGUAAAUGUCAACAAAGUGCAGACAAGGUGGGUAUAUAUAUUCCACUUUAGAAACAAUAAUGUGGAGAACCAGCAUAGGGGUCUAGGAACUUGCUUAUGGGCACCACAGAAAGCCCCAAUGAACAGAAAGACUGAGUGAUGGAAGACGAGGGAUGGCUGAAGGGAAGAGUAAGGAAUUUAAUCUCAUGGUUCAUAUUACUUCAGAACCUCCUGCUAGAUUGGUCCAUGAGGGGAUAGGUCUCACUGAAAGGGAUGUACUAUACUUCUGAAAUAUAACCUGCUCGGUCGGUAUAAUGUUACUUGUAUGAAUAUGAUUUCAAGGCUGCUAUCUUGGUAUUAGAUAACCCAUUUGGGAGCACUACCCAGGGAACUCUUUCUCCUGUUCUCAGCAUUCUUCAGUUCCUGUAGUUUCAUCGACGUGGCUGCCUGAACAAGCCCAAACACCACCAACAGACAUGCUAACGUGGAAGGGGGAAACCCCUACAGGGCCUCAACGCUAGACACAGAGAAUACAUAAGUAUUCUUACAUGAUGAGCCCAAGGGCCUAGAAAGCAAGUCUUGUACUCUUUCCACAACUUUCUGUAGCAACCGAAGUAGUGUAUAGAUCUGCCCCAUCCAAUAUGGCUCUAGUAGAGGUAUGUCGCUAUUGUACACUUAGAAUGUAGUUCAUCUGACAAUGAGCUAGAGCCAUUUAAUUACAUUUAAACUUAAAUAACCAUGUGGCUAGCACAUUGGAUUAGACUGUGCAGAGCUAGGUAUCAGAAGACAGCAGAAGUCAGCAAUCAUCUACUGUGCAGAGACCACAAACUUAAAGUGAACUACUACCCAGAUGCAUUGGUCCUUCCCUCCACGAACACAACGUACUGGCUUAGGAGGAGAAAUUCAUCACUAGUCACCAGGUUCUCAAUUCUCUGGUUGUUUCCCCUGAUAUCUACAAACUAAAAAUUAGAAGUAUUCCAAUAGUUGACGUAAUAAAAGUGAUUAAAAAUGAGCUAAUUAAAGUCCAAAAGAAACUUCUGGAUUGAUUGUUGAGACUUUUUCAAUAUCUUUAUGUUAAAGGUUUUUAAAAAAAGGUCAUUUCAGCUGACCUCUAUCCACACAUCUAUUUGGUGAGCUAUGGUUGAGGGAGAAGGGCAGACAGACAGGCAAGGAGCCUGGAAAGGGUUCAGAACCAACCAUCAGGAACUCUCUCCAGGAAAGAGUCUCUUAUGCAAAAGGUGACUGACAGUAAAAGUUUGAUAGUUAUGUAGUGAGAUUUGUAACCCAUAAGAAAAAAGUUAAAAGCCUAUGAGAGAAUGUAAUUUAAAUUCUAUGCAUUAUUCUAAGUAAAGCAGGGGUAGUAUCUAUGUCCCUUGUCCUUUUGUUUUUGUUUUUUUUGAGACAGGGUUUCUCUGUGUAACAGCCCUGGCUGUCUUGGAACUCACUCUGUGGACCAGGCUGGCCUCGAACUCACUACAAUCCACCUGCCUCUGUGUCCUAAGUGCUGGGAUUAGAGGUGUGCACCACCACUGCCCAGCCCUUCUACUUUCAAAGAUACCUGCUAAGGCAGUUUUGAAAAGGCUAUUUUUAAGCUCAAACUUCAUCAAAUCUUUUGCUCUAGCAAGUCAACAUCUUAGAAAUUUAUCUUUUUUGUUUGUUUUGUUUUUCAAGACCGGGUUUCUUUCUCCGUGUAGUUUUAGUGCCUGUCCUGGAUCUCGCUCUGUAGACCAGGCUGGCCUCAAAUCACAGAGAUCCGCCUGGCUCUGCCUCCUGAGUGCUGCUGGGAUUAAAGGCAUGUGCCACCGCAGCCUGACAGAAAUUUAUCUUAAAGAAGAUGGAAAGUCUGAGGGCACAAAAAUGAUUUCUCUAUUUAAAAUGAUAUAGGGAAAUGGAGGGAAAAAUGUACCAAAUAACUGAGAUAAUGUUUUAAAGGGUUUUUAACAGUUUAUAUGAAUCAAUAAAGGAUACCUUAAAAGAGAGCAAGUGGCAGCACAGUACAGCCUAGCAGCAUUACCCAAAUAAGAGAGAUGACCCAACAAAGCCAAGUGGGGAAAUGACCCACUUCCCUUCGGACAGUCAAAGGGCAUCAUCUAGUCCAGCCUGGCACACUUUUCACUUGAGAGCACCCAUUGUUUCCAGACUCAAAGAUCCCUCUUCUGGAGGUCUGAUACAGCAGACAUGUCUAUGUGUGAGUUAUUAAGUUUUGGACUGUUUCAAUUUAAAUGUUUCCUUUAUAAAUAUAUGUAAAUGUAUACUUAAAACUGAUUCGCACGUGUACUCAAAGCAUUAGAAGAUUUGGAAGGGCAACACGGUGCUGACCGGGACAUGAUUAUGAGAUUAUGGAGGCGACUAUUAUUCGGAAAGAGUGUUCAAGAAAUAUUUUUAAAAAUCGUCUAUGUGCUGAUGCAUUUCCCAAAUUUGAAGAUAGCAAGAUACAAAAGUUAAUAAGUAUUCAACACUGAAGAUGACAGAAGAGUCCGUAUUUUAUAAGAACAAUAGAAACCACAAGAAUUUAAUUACAAAUUGAGCUCUGUAAAUGUCAUGGCUCUGGUCCAUGUUAAAUUAGCAGAGAGCCAACCACUCGGGGCUAAAGGUUCCUCUUAGGAGUGAGCAGUAACAAGACAUUCCUGCCAGGUCAAGUCUAAGCCAUGCAAAGUGGAUACAGUUUCAAAGAGGAGUGUGUGGGCAGGUUAUGAAAGAAAAAGAAUGUUUGAAUAAUUCAUUUGAGUGAAAAUUUAAAUUAGAAAAAAAAAACACUGUUCCUCCUUGUCCCAUCAAUUCAUAUAUGUUGAGAUAAUAAUAGUAAUAUUUACCAUUGCUUUGUAAGUGCUUGUUUGUUAUUACUGCUCUAAGUGUCUAACUCAGUAUAUAUAAGUAUAUAUUCAUCUUUCUAUGAUAAUGAGGGUCUAAAACCAAUUUUCUCCCUAACUUAUUUGACAACAAAUUUAACCUGAAUAAACAAAGUAUAUUUAUAAUAUUUAUCCAGCUUGUAUUGAUGCAUAAAUUUCGUUCUAGAAACAGAAAUGUGUUUAGUUACAGAAUGCUUUCUAGAACCCUCAGACUGCUUUCUCAAACACCAUAUAUAAAAACUAUAGAUUCUUUUUUAAAUGUGAAAAAGUCCAAAUCCGAAACUAUAUUCACAUUAGGGAUAUGGAACUGAAUCCACAUUUAGUUUGCCUUUGAUGCUGGUACUAUUUUCAUCCACACUCUGCAGCUGAGGGGUCAAGGCACAGGUCACAGAGGAAGGGAAGGGGUCCAUGGCCCCCAAAGCUGUAUUCCUAAUCUCUCUGCUACUGCUCUAAAAUGUUCUGGGUACCAAUCAUUUUAUGAUGCCAAACCCCAGCAGGCAGCAAGUGUGAGGUUACCUGAGGCACGGAGCUUCUCCAUGCUCAGCUGGUGAACAUCGAAGAUCCCAACUUUCUCCAUACAAAUACACCUGCCCACUAUACCUGAAGGUCUGAGACCGAGGUGCAUGGACUCUGCUAGAAGAACUGCAAUCACGUCGUCAGACCUUCAGUGUUACUGUGGCAGGCUGAGCAAUUGAUGCCUAACCAUCCACAACAUAAACGUAUCAUCAUCCUAAUGCGGAAGUCAGUGAAUACAGCAGAGGGGACUUUACAGACAUGACUUAAGGAUCUUAAUCUGGAUUACUGAGGUAAUCCGAAGUAUAAUUACAAAGUGCUUAAAGCAAGGCAGGUUAGAGAUAAGCCAUGGGAAGCAGAAACACUUCGGAGACCAGCAUGGCCGAGUGAAGGAAAGCUGGUAGCCUCUAGAAGAAGUAAAGAAAUGUUUUCACCUAGAGAUUUACAGAAGAAAAUCGAUCUGCACCUUAGUUUUACCCCAGUGAGACCAUUUCAAACUUCUGUCCUCUAGGAUUGCAAGACAGUGAACUCCUGCUAAGUGACCACAUUUUUGUAAUUCAUCAUGGCAGUGCUGUUUCUGGGUCCCUACCAACACUCGUGCUGAAAUGUAAUCUUCAUCAUGAAGUAUAAAGAAAAUAAACUCACCACAGUACAGUGUUUGGAAGUGGGACCUUCAGGAGGAAACUAAGGUUAAAUGAGGCCAGAGGAGUGGGGACUGAAUCCAGGAAGAGUGUUCUUUAUUGGAAGAGGACAGAUUACAGCUAGGGAGCUCAGUUCCUCACCCAAUGUGCACGACCCCCACCCCACUCCUGCUGCCUGAGGACUCUGCAGCCCCCACGAGCAAGAGGGAUAUCACCAGAGGCAGCUGUAUCUUGCACUUCCCAUAUUCCUCAAUCAUAAGCUAAUGAAGUAUUUUUUCUUUGUAAAUUACUAAGCCUGCGGUAUUCACUUACAGCAACACAGAUGAUAACAAGUGACAUUAAACUCAUGUUUGCCUUUUCCCAUUUUCUUACUAAUUCUUGCUUUCUGUGUCUAAAGAUGUCCAUCCUGCUCUGGUGUUGCUGGAAGAAUUUCCUGUAUUUGCUUCUAAUUCAUAAAUUUUGUUUUCCAUGUGUAGGCUGCUUUUACAGUAAAAGACUCUAGUUACUGUUUUUUUUUUUUUAAUGUGAGAGCCAAUUGUCUCCAUAAUAUUUAGUGAUAUUACAUACACUGUAUACUAAACAGAAUAAUUUAUCUUAAUUCUGAAUCUACUUCUUAAGACGUAUGUGUCACCAGAAUCAUAAUUCCACUCCAGCUUUUCCUACAAGCUUUUGUUACCAUGUGUCCUUGGCUUUUCUGCUUAUAGUUGUCCAGAUAAGAAUUGUUACUUCACCAAGCCAAACUCCGAUGCCACGCCACCAUGGAGACACUGGAGAAGCAAGGCUCAGACUUCUGCUCCCAUGGUAAUGCAGCAACAGGCUACCCAACAAGACACGGGGCCAACAAUGACUUGUCUCAGCCUGGCAGCCUGGAACUCACACUCACCUCCUCUAAGAGCCAAUAACUGCUCAGGUGUCCUAGUCUCAUGUCCCUGCCCACUAUUAUUAAAAUAGCCUGUUUAGCUUUGAAGUGCUUCAUCAACAGAUGGCAGUGGCAAAUGACUUUCCCCAUCACCCUUCCACUUUCAAAGCUACACGGAGCAUUUUAAGAGGAUAAGAUCCAAGCCCACGACAAACCCAAAGUACAGUUCCUGUUAUAUAAUAAACUGGGAAACAUGAAUGGACUGUAUACAGGUACUGCCUGUUUAUAUUUGGUAGGACUGGAUCAUCUGCCCAAUUAUUAAACAAUAGAGUCCUGAUUUUUAUGGCCCUGGACUAAUCAGAGAGGAACUAUAGGUCACUGUCUUAGUUAGGGUUUUUAUUGCUGUGAAGAGACACCAUGACCACAGCAACUCUUAUAAAGGAAACAUUUAAUUGAGGGGGCAGCUUACAGUUCCAGAGGUUCAGUCCAUUAUCAUCAUGGUGGGGAGCAUGGCAGCAUGCAGGCAGACAUGGUGCUGGAGGAGUAGUUAAGAGUCCUACAUCUUGCAGGCAACAGGAAGUUGACUGAGACACUGGGCAGUAUCCUGAGCAUAGGAAACCUCAAGGCUUACUGUCAGAGUGACACACUUCCUCCAACAAAGCCAUACCCACUCCAACAAAGCCACAUCUCCUAAUAAUGCCACUCCUUGUGAGAUUAUGGGUGUCAAUUACAUCCAAACUACCAAUGUCACACAAUUCAAAACAAACUUAAUGAUCUGUACCUUGUCCAUGGUGACUUCAGUUCAGUAGCUGUGAUUAAUGGUACUGAUAUUUAACAACAACAACAACCA
Peromyscus californicus insignis is the source of this 8209-nucleotide long non-coding RNA. RefSeq lists it as uncharacterized. The transcript is spliced from 2 exons. Lineage: Eukaryota; Metazoa; Chordata; Mammalia; Rodentia; Cricetidae. The record is from RefSeq and is a predicted model, not a curated record.